This 253-nucleotide ribosomal RNA is filed under the name uncultured bacterium. Its description in RNAcentral is "partial 16S ribosomal RNA". It matches the Rfam family "Bacterial small subunit ribosomal RNA", at positions 524 to 776 of the family's 1533-position model. The record is from RNAcentral.
UACGGAGGGGGCUAGCGUUGUUCGGAAUUACUGGUCAUAAAGCGCACGUAGGCGGCUUUGUAAGUUAGAGGUGAAAGCCAGGAGCUUAACUCAAGAACUGCCGUUAAGACUGCAUCGCUUGAAUCCGGGAGAGGUGAGUGGAAUUCCGAGUGUAGAGGUGAAAUUCGUAGAUAUUCGGAAGAACACCAGUGGCGAAGGCGGCUCACUAGACCGGUAUUGACGCUGAGGUGCGAAAGCGUGGGGAGCAAACAGG